CGUAAGCGAGCGCAGGCGGUUUUGUAAGUCUGCUGUGAAAGCCCUCAGCUCAACUGAGGAAGUGCAGUGGAAACUACAAAACUUGAGUACAGAAGAGGAAAGUGGAACUCCAUGUGUAGCGGUGAAAUGCGUAGAUAUAUGGAAGAACACCAGUGGCGAAGGCGGCUUUCUGGUCUGUUACUGACGCUGAGGCUCGAAAGCAUGGGUAGCGAACAGGAUUAGAUACCCUGGUAGUCCAUGCCGUAAACGAUGAAUACUAGGUGUUGGAGGGUUUCCGCCCUUCAGUGCCGCAGCUAACGCAUUAAGUAUUCCGCCUGGGGAGUACGACCGCAAGGUUGAAACUCAAAGGAAUUGACGGGGGCCCGCACAAGUGGUGGAGCAUGUGGUUUAAUUCGAUGCUACGCGAAGAACCUUACCAGCUCUUGACAUCUUCUGCCAACCCAAGAGAUUGGGCGUUCCCUUCGGGGACAGAAUGACAGGUGGUGCAUGGUUGUCGUCAGCUCGUGUCGUGAGAUGUUGGGUUAAGUCCCGCAACGAGCGCAACCCUUAUUAUUAGUUGCCAGCAUUUAGUUGGGCACUCUAGUGAGACUGCCGGUGAUAAACCGGAGGAAGGUGGGGACGACGUCAAAUCAUCAUGCCCCUUAUGAGCUGGGCUACACACGUGCUACAAUGGAUGGUACAACGAGUCGCGAAACCGCGAGGUCAAGCUAAUCUCUUAAAGCCAUUCUCAGUUCGGAUUGCAGGCUGCAACUCGCCUGCAUGAAAUUUGAAAUCACUAGUAAUCGUGGAUCAAGCAUGCCACUGUGAAUACGUUCUCG
RNAcentral lists this ribosomal RNA (818 nucleotides) under Apilactobacillus kunkeei. Its description in RNAcentral is "bacterial SSU rRNA". It matches the Rfam family "Bacterial small subunit ribosomal RNA", at positions 559 to 1376 of the family's 1533-position model. Lineage: Bacteria; Bacillati; Bacillota; Bacilli; Lactobacillales; Lactobacillaceae. The record is from RNAcentral.